Long non-coding RNA from Hibiscus syriacus, 1049 nucleotides. RefSeq lists it as uncharacterized. The transcript is spliced from 4 exons. The record is from RefSeq and is a predicted model, not a curated record. Lineage: Eukaryota; Viridiplantae; Streptophyta; Magnoliopsida; Malvales; Malvaceae.
AUUAAAUUCUUUUUAUCAUCUCUCAAAUAAUUUCAGUUCCUACUUCUUAGUCAAGUUCAUGUCAAUGUCCCACAACUGAUGUUGAUGAAACAUUGGCAUAUGCGACAUAAGUGAAGCCAUAAAAUUUUCAACUCUGCUAAAAACAUAAUAUGGACCCGAAGGAAAACUCAGCCAAGCAAUCAAAAUCGAUCCCACCAUUGCCGAGGGAUUCCAGAGGCUCACUUGAAGUGUUCAAUCCAUCAACUUUCUCGACCCGACCCAUUAACCCGUCGCAAUCCCCUUGGCAAAACUUGGGAGAGCCAGGUGGUAGCCACGAAAAAGCUGACCGUUUCCAGCUAGUAUCAGAGUCGGCGAGCCACCACCGCUUGCUCCAUCUCCACCGCCACCAUCACAACUUUUUCAUGAGACCACCGAGGAUAAUGACCGAAACCACGGCGUAGCGGCCAGUCCGAAGCCUUCGGAGGAAGCUGGAGAGGCUGCGAAGAGAGCUGCAGAAUGGGGACUAGUACUGAAAACCGAUAAUGAAACUGGGAAACCACGCGGAGUGGUUGCUAGAAAUUCGGGUGGGGAUGACCCGAAUAUCAAAAUGGAUACUCGUAGGAACUCUAAUACUUCCGUUCGGAGCUCGGACGAAUUUUCCGAUAACGAAUUCAUCUAGGAUAGGGUUCCCAAGAGUAUCCCAAGGCUUAAAGGAAGCAUUGUCAACGUUUCAACAGACAUUCGUUGUUUCGGAUGCUACCAAACCCGAUUACCGAUUUUGUGUGCAAGGGCCGGAUUCUUCAGGAUGACCGGAUACACUUCUAGUGAGGUCGUGGGCAGGAACUGUCGGUUUUUUACAGGGAGCGGGUACGGAUCCGGAAGAUAUAGUGAAGAUUAGGGAGGCAUUACAGGCAGGGAAAAAUUAUUGUGGGAGAUUGUUGAAUUACAAGAAAGAUGGGACUCCCUUUUGGAAUCUUCUUACGAUUGCACCCAUUAAGGACGAGAAUGGAAAAGUCUUGAAAUUUAUUGGAAUGCAAGUGGAGGUAAGCAAGCAUACAGAAGGGGCCAAG